Molecule: ribosomal RNA, 264 nt
Filed under: uncultured bacterium
Lineage: Bacteria
Description: partial 16S ribosomal RNA
Rfam family: Bacterial small subunit ribosomal RNA
Source: RNAcentral
ACGAACGCUGGCGGCGUGCUUAACACAUGCAAGUCGAACGAUUAAAGCUCACUUCGGUGAGUGUAUAGAGUGGCGAACGGGUGAGUAACACGUGGGAAACCUGCCCCUUUCUUCGGGAUAACUUCGGGAAACCGUUGCUAAUACCGGAUACUCCGGGAUGGUCGCAUGGCCGACCCGGGAAAGCUUUAUGUGGAAAGGGAUGGUCCCGCGGCCCAUUAGCUUGUUGGUGGGGUAAUGACCUACCAAGGCAAUGAUGGGUAGCCG